Molecule: ribosomal RNA, 482 nt
Filed under: uncultured bacterium
Lineage: Bacteria
Description: partial 16S ribosomal RNA
Rfam family: Bacterial small subunit ribosomal RNA
Source: RNAcentral
AUUGAACGCUGGCGGCAGGCCUAACACAUGCAAGUCGAGCGGAUGAAGGGAGCUUGCUCCUGGAUUCAGCGGCGGACGGGUGAGUAAUGCCUAGGAAUCUGCCUGGUAGUGGGGGAUAACGUCCGGAAACGGGCGCUAAUACCGCAUACGUCCUGAGGGAGAAAGUGGGGGAUCUUCGGACCUCACGCUAUCCGAUGAGCCUAGGUCGGAUUAGCUAGUUGGUGGGGUAAAGGCCUACCAAGGCGACGAUCCGUAACUGGUCUGAGAGGAUGAUCAGUCACACUGGAACUGAGACACGGUCCAGACUCCUACGGGAGGCAGCAGUGGGGAAUAUUGGACAAUGGGCGAAAGCCUGAUCCAGCCAUGCCGCGUGUGAAGAAGGUCUUCGGAUUGUAAAGCACUUUAAGUUGGGAGGAAGGGCAGUAAGUUAAUACCUUGCUGUUUUGACGUUACCAACAGAAUAAGCACCGGCUAACUUCGUG